Long non-coding RNA from Chlorocebus sabaeus (green monkey), 756 nucleotides. RefSeq lists it as uncharacterized. Lineage: Eukaryota; Metazoa; Chordata; Mammalia; Primates; Cercopithecidae. The record is from RefSeq and is a predicted model, not a curated record.
GAGGAAGAAAAUUGAGGUUUUACAUUCUGAAGUGCUAUUCCAUCUUUAAAAAUCAGAACUUUCUUUAUGCUUGAAUGUCCCAUUCCAUAUUUUAAUGUAAGUGUUUUUGAAUCAAGUAGAUUUCUUUGUUUUAUUUUUUUUACACAGGUAAUAUUUGAAUAUACGAUUGUUCAGAAAUAAUUGAAAGAUAUAGGCUUGGCAGCUCUUUGGGGGUUGGAAGAAGACCAUGAAGCUCUAAGUGCUUCAGAGGAAUGGGGUUGCCAAAACAGAUGUGAGCUACCCAGAGAGGAGGCUGGGCCAAUGCUGAAGGUCUAGAGAAAGAGAAGAUAUGUUCUCCACCACACACGACGUGUUGCAUCAGGGUAACCAUGGAUGUCAUCGUUGAGCCUAGGAAGUGCCAGGAAUAUGCUCUACUUGGACAAAUCCUGCCUCCCAGUGGGACCAGAGUCAAAACCUCAGUGACUUUCCAGGUUGAACCAAUUGAGAGAUUUUGAAACUAUUUUGAUCAGACUGGAAAGUUAGGGACCACCAUUGAAGAACUUGAGAGGUGACAAAUUCCACAGAAUAAAAGACAAGACCCUACAAUCAAAAGAAUUCACAGAUUAUAGUCACAAGCUAGAUAAGAAGAAAACACUGAACAGAAACAUCUCUAUACACUGACACAUACUUGUGAAAUUUAAGAUCAUCAAAGCCAAGAUUGUGCCAUUGCACUCCAGCCUGGGCAACAAGAGUGAAACUCCAUCUCAAAGAAAAAAA